Molecule: ribosomal RNA, 484 nt
Filed under: uncultured bacterium
Lineage: Bacteria
Description: partial 16S ribosomal RNA
Rfam family: Bacterial small subunit ribosomal RNA
Source: RNAcentral
AUUGAACGCUGGCGGCAGGCCUAACACAUGCAAGUCGAGCGGAUGAAGGGAGCUUGCUCCUGGAUUCAGCGGCGGACGGGUGAGUAAUGCCUAGGAAUCUGCCUGGUAGUGGGGGAUAACGUCCGGAAACGGGCGCUAAUACCGCAUACGUCCUGAGGGAGAAAGUGGGGGAUCUUCGGACCUCACGCUAUCAGAUGAGCCUAGGUCGGAUUAGCUAGUUGGUGGGGUAAAGGCCUACCAAGGCGACGAUCCGUAACUGGUCUGAGAGGAUGAUCAGUCACACUGGAGCUGAGACACGGUCCAGACUCCUAAGGGAGGCAGCAGUGGGGAAUGUGGGACAAUGGGCGAAAGCCUGAUCCAGCCAUGCGGCGUGUGGGAAGAAGGUCUUGGGAUUGUAAAGCACUUUAAGUUGGGAGAAAGGGAAGUAAGUUAAUACCUUGCGGUUUUGACGUUACCAACAGAAUAAGCACCGGCUAACUUCGUG